RNAcentral lists this ribosomal RNA (488 nucleotides) under Rauvolfia vomitoria. RNAcentral describes it as "eukaryotic LSU rRNA". The stretch from base 349 to 488 matches the Rfam family "Eukaryotic large subunit ribosomal RNA", at positions 1 to 142 of the family's 3401-position model. The record is from RNAcentral. Lineage: Eukaryota; Viridiplantae; Streptophyta; Magnoliopsida; Gentianales; Apocynaceae.
UAGAAUUGAAGAAUUAUGUGAACCAUGGUGYUAAUUAACACGCAGUUGCGCCCGAGCCAUUAGGCCGAGGGCACGUCGGCCUGGGCGUCACGCAUCGCGUCGCCCUCCCUGUCCCUCCUCGCCCWGGAACGGGCGGGGCCGGAGAGGGGGGGUGCGUAGACUGGCCUCCCGUGCUGCGAGCGYGGCCGGCCUAAACCUUGGUCCCCCGUCGUGGACUUCACAACAAGUGGUGGUUGAAUCCCUCAACUCGAGUGCGAGUCGAGGGGGAACCCGAGAGCGGGGAGGCCGAACGACCCMKCAGGAAGCCCCCCCUUCGCGAAGGAGGAGGAUCAAAGCUCGCCACAACCGCGACUCCAGGUCAGGCGGGGCUACCCGCUGAGUUUAAGCAUAUCAUUAACUGGAGAAAAAGAAACUAACCAGGAUUCGCUUAGUAACAGCGAGCGAACCGGAAUAGCCCAAGCUUARAAUCGUGCAACUUCCACGUCGAA